Molecule: transfer RNA, 85 nt
Filed under: Streptomyces sp. PTY087I2
Lineage: Bacteria; Bacillati; Actinomycetota; Actinomycetes; Kitasatosporales; Streptomycetaceae
Description: tRNA-Pro
Source: RNAcentral
GCUGUAGUAGGCGACGGAGCCCUCGACGACCGGGCCGUCGACCCGCAGGACACCGGGGAGCUGUUCGAUCCGGCUCUUCAGGUCC